RNAcentral lists this non-coding RNA (314 nucleotides) under Clostridium tyrobutyricum. Its description in RNAcentral is "T-box sequence". It matches the Rfam family "T-box leader". Rfam says of the family: Uncharged tRNA acts as the effector for transcription antitermination of genes in the T-box leader family. T-boxes are found upstream of many aminoacyl-tRNA synthetase genes and some amino acid biosynthetic genes usually in Gram-positive bacteria. Lineage: Bacteria; Bacillati; Bacillota; Clostridia; Eubacteriales; Clostridiaceae. The record is from RNAcentral.
UAAAAGACUAUGACAGGAAAUAAGUAAAUGUAUGGUAACUUUAAAAAGAGAGUGAAGUUUGGUGAAAAUUCACAGUAGCUGUAUGUUGAAACUCAUCCCUGAGUUAUAAGUUGAAAUUAAGUAGGCUUUAUCGGCGAAAGUCGUUAUUAUUAAAUCAAGAGAUAAUUUUGGAUGGUAAUGCGGCAGUUUUCUCGCUCCAAGAGAAAACUGCCGCUUUGUUUAUGCUUGCUUUUACUACUAUAAAGGAAGUUAUUCAUCUAUCAUUAAAUAAUCAACAAUUUGGGUGGUACCGCGGCAGACUUUUCGCCCCAACG